CCAAUAACUCUGCAAGAACUCAGACUCAGUCAUCUACCCUGGAGGUGCCAAGUCCCAGACAUGACAGCUACCCUGGAGGAGGAGCCAAGUCCCAGACAUGACAUCUACCCUGGAGGAGGAGCCAAGUCCCAGACAUGACAUCUACCCUGGAGGUGCCAAGUCCCAGACAUGACAUCUACCCUGGAGGAGCCAAGUCCCAGACAUGACAUCUACCCUGGAGGAGCCAAGUCCCAGACAUGACAUCUACCCUGGAGGUACCAAGUCCCAGACAUGACAUCUACCCUGGAGGAGCCAAGUCCCAGACAUGACAUCUACCCUGGAGGAGCCAAGUCCCAGACAUGACAUCUACCCUGGAGGAGCCAAGUCCCAGACAUGACAUCUACCCUGGAGGAGCCAAGUCCCAGAGAUGACAUCUACCCUGGAGGAGGAGCCAAGUUCCAGACAUGACAUCUACCCUGGAGGAGGAGCCAAGUCCCAGACAUGACAUCUACCCUGGAGGAGGAGCCAAGUCCCAGACAUGACAUCUACCCUGGAGGAGGAGCCAAGUCCCAGACAUGACAGCCACCCUGGAGGAGGAGCCAAGUCCCAGACAUGACAGCCACCCUGGAGGAGGAGCCAAGUCCCAGACAUGACAGCCACCCUGGAGGUUCCAAGUCCCAGACAUGACAGCCA
Oncorhynchus tshawytscha (Chinook salmon) is the source of this 672-nucleotide long non-coding RNA. Lineage: Eukaryota; Metazoa; Chordata; Actinopteri; Salmoniformes; Salmonidae. The record is from Ensembl.